This 77-nucleotide transfer RNA is filed under the name Bryobacterales bacterium. Its description in RNAcentral is "Solibacterales bacterium tRNA-Arg". It matches the Rfam family "tRNA". Rfam says of the family: Transfer RNA (tRNA) molecules are approximately 80 nucleotides in length. Their secondary structure includes four short double-helical elements and three loops (D, anti-codon, and T loops). The record is from RNAcentral. Lineage: Bacteria; Pseudomonadati; Acidobacteriota; Terriglobia; Bryobacterales.
GGGCGCGUAGCUCAGCUGGAUAGAGCAUCUGCCUUCUAAGCAGAGGGUCGCAGGUUCGAGUCCUGCCGCGCCCGCCA